Molecule: non-coding RNA, 428 nt
Organism: Paramuricea clavata
Lineage: Eukaryota; Metazoa; Cnidaria; Anthozoa; Malacalcyonacea; Plexauridae
Source: the annotation of a GenBank genome assembly
AAUGGACGAAAAGUUAAGCCUAUAGCCUUACUUUUUUGGUGUUUUUUGGCCACUUAUGAAAAAUGGAAAAAGUCGCUAAAAAUGGACGAAAAGUUAAGCCUAUAGCCUUAAUUUUUUGCUGUUUUUUGGGCACUUAUGAAAAAUGGAAAAAAGUCGCUAGAAAUGGACGAAAAGUUAAAGGGGAAGUCAAGUCCGUUCUGCGCAUCGGUUCUGCGCAUAACAAUAGAGGGCCCUCUGAGGCAAACAUUGCCCAAAUUUUGAAUGUUUCGAAUUUUUCUGAACACAAACUCUAUUUCAUAUUCAUGUAGAAGCAUAACGAACCAAAAUGGUGUUAGAUAUUCAGACAGUACAUCAUAUUUUAAAAAAUACAGCAGUUCAAAAUGUAAACAAACCGUUUGUUUACAUUACGGACUUGACUUCCCCUUUAA